RNAcentral lists this ribosomal RNA (207 nucleotides) under uncultured bacterium. RNAcentral's name for it is "partial 16S ribosomal RNA". It matches the Rfam family "Bacterial small subunit ribosomal RNA", at positions 568 to 774 of the family's 1533-position model. The record is from RNAcentral.
UCUGUAGGUGGUUUAAAAAGUCCACUGUUAAAAAUUGAAGCUUAACUUCAAAGAUGCUGUGGAAACUCUUAAACUUGAGUAUGGUAGGGGUAAAGGGAAUUUCCAGUGGAGCGGUGAAAUGCGUAGAUAUUGGAAGGACCACCAAUGGCGAAGGCACUUUACUGGGCCAUUACUGACACUGAGAGACGAAAGCUAGGGGAGCAGAUG